RNAcentral lists this transfer RNA (74 nucleotides) under Diacronema viridis. RNAcentral describes it as "tRNA-Arg". It matches the Rfam family "tRNA". From Rfam's summary of the family: Transfer RNA (tRNA) molecules are approximately 80 nucleotides in length. Their secondary structure includes four short double-helical elements and three loops (D, anti-codon, and T loops). The record is from RNAcentral. Lineage: Eukaryota; Haptophyta; Pavlovophyceae; Pavlovales; Pavlovaceae.
GUGCCCAUCGCAUAAUGGAUUAUUGCAUUGCGCUACGAACGCAAAGGGUCUGGGUUCGAUUCCUAGUGGGCAUU